GCCUCGGUCGUAUAGUGGUAGCACAUAUACCCGGCAUGGAUGGAACGCGGGUUCGACUCCCGUCUGAGACU
This is a non-coding RNA of Parelaphostrongylus tenuis, 71 nucleotides long. Lineage: Eukaryota; Metazoa; Nematoda; Chromadorea; Rhabditida; Metastrongylidae. The record is from the annotation of a GenBank genome assembly.